This 138-nucleotide small nucleolar RNA is filed under the name Ornithorhynchus anatinus (platypus). Lineage: Eukaryota; Metazoa; Chordata; Mammalia; Monotremata; Ornithorhynchidae. The record is from RNAcentral.
CCUUUCUCAAGGUCGCACGUGGAGAGUUUCCAGUACUCUACCAGUCUUGAUUAUGGGAAGGAGAGUCAAGCAGAGGCUUACCCAUUCCAUUCCUAGCUUGGGCAGUGGCUAGUGAGUGGAAGGCAAUCUGCUACAAGU